CUAAGAGGGUUACCCUCCACACUGGAACUGAGACAAGGACCAGACUUCUACGGAAGGCAGCAGUGAGGAAUAUUGGUCAAUGGAGGAAACUCUGAACCAGCUAUGCCGCGUGUACGGAAGACAGUCUUUUAGGUUGUAAACUACUUUUGCAUAGAAAUAAAAGUUACUACGUGAUAGUAGCCUGAAGGUACUAUGCGAAUAAGUGUCGGCUAAUUUCGUGCCAGCAGCCGCGGUAAUACGAAAGACACAAGCGUUAUCCGGAUUUAUUGGGUUUAAAGGGUGUGUAGGCUGUUUAUUAAGUCAGUAGUGAAAGCUUACAGCUUAACUGUAAAAUUGCUAUUGAUACUGAUAACCUUGAGUAAGAUUGGAGCGUUUGGAAUGUAUGGUGUAGCGGUGAAAUGCAUAGAUAUCAUACAGAACACCAAUAGCGAAGGCAGGAUGCUAAAUCUUCACUGACGCUGAGGCACUAAAGCGUGGGUAGCAAACAGGAUUAGAUACCCUGGUAGUCCACUGCCCUAAACGAUGAUCACUAGCUAUUGGAAAAACUAUAUUCAGUGGCUAAGCUAAAGCGAUAAGUGAUCCACCUGGGAAGUACGAUCGCAAGAUUGAAACUCAAAGGAAUUGACGGGGUUCCGCACAAGCGGUGGAGCAUGUGGUUUAAUUCGAUGAUACGCGAGGAACCUUACCAAGGAUUAAAUGUAUUACGAAUAAGCUGGAAACAACUUAGUCUAUAAGACGUAAUACAAGGUGCUGCAUGGUUGUCUUCAGUUCGUGCUGUGAAGUGUUUGGUUAAGUCCUAUAACGAGCGCAACCCCUAUUGUUAGUUGCCAACGGGUAAAGCCGGGGACUCUAACAAAACUGCCGGUGUAAAUCGUGAGGAAGGUGGGGAUAAUGUCAA
RNAcentral lists this ribosomal RNA (898 nucleotides) under Candidatus Uzinura diaspidicola. RNAcentral describes it as "bacterial SSU rRNA". It matches the Rfam family "Bacterial small subunit ribosomal RNA", at positions 292 to 1188 of the family's 1533-position model. The record is from RNAcentral. Lineage: Bacteria; Pseudomonadati; Bacteroidota; Flavobacteriia; Flavobacteriales.